UGUGCCCAGAUGGGAUUAGCUAGUAGGUGGGGUAACGGCUCACCUAGGCGACGAUCCCUAGCUGGUCUGAGAGGAUGACCAGCCACACUGGAACUGAGACACGGUCCAGACUCCUACGGGAGGCAGCAGUGGGGAAUAUUGCACAAUGGGCGCAAGCCUGAUGCAGCCAUGCCGCGUGUAUGAAGAAGGCCUUCGGGUUGUAAAGUACUUUCAGCGGGGAGGAAGGGAGUAAAGUUAAUACCUUUGCUCAUUGACGUUACCCGCAGAAGAAGCACCGGCUAACUCCGUGCCAGCAGCCGCGGUAAUACGGAGGGUGCAAGCGUUAAUCGGAAUUACUGGGCGUAAAGCGCACGCAGGCGGUUUGUUAAGUCAGAUGUGAAAUCCCCGGGCUCAACCUGGGAACUGCAUCUGAUACUGGCAAGCUUGAGUCUCGUAGAGGGGGGUAGAAUUCCAGGUGUAGCGGUGAAAUGCGUAGAGAUCUGGAGGGAUACCGGUGGCGA
This 500-nucleotide ribosomal RNA is filed under the name uncultured Pseudomonadota bacterium. RNAcentral's name for it is "bacterial SSU rRNA". It matches the Rfam family "Bacterial small subunit ribosomal RNA", at positions 226 to 718 of the family's 1533-position model. Lineage: Bacteria; Pseudomonadati; Pseudomonadota. The record is from RNAcentral.